GGACUUCUUGGCAUUUCCGUGAGGAAGAGGAGAUUGGUUACAGACAAGCACAGAAGGAAGACCACACGAAGACACAGAAUGGAGGCUCUCUCUAUGCUACACAGAGAAGUCUCAGAAGAAACCAAUCUUGCUGGCACCUUGAUCUCAGGCUUCCAGCCUCCAGAAUUGUGAGAAAAUAAAGUUCUGUUGUUUGUCACCCCAUCUGUGGUAGGUUGUUAUGGCAGCCUGAGGAAACUAAUACAGGUGUCCUAAUGGAAAGGCCCAUGCUCUCAUAGCUGCUUGGCAGCCUCCAGGGUGAGUAAGAUGUGGCUGGAACGCAAGCACGCAUUGUCUGCAAGUCCUCAGCUGCUGAGGGAAGGCUGGACCUUGUGCUUGGCUGCAGGGUGUGGCCUCUGACACGGAAGCACUUUUCCAGCCCUGGGUGACUCUUGGAGUGAGUAUUAUCACAGACCAUGUCUGCACAAUUUACAUCCACCAAUGAAUUAACUUCUAUUUACAAGACUUGAAGAAAUGCACCAAGGUCGGCUGAAUGAAAACUCAACGUCAGUAGCAUUUUGUAAUUGAUGAUGAUGAUGAUGAAUUAAUUUGUGUACAAUGACUAUCAAUACCUAUUAUCAAUAUCCAUUACUUUUUUGUUUGUUUAUUUGUUUUUUUGGGUUUUCUUGUUUUGUUUUGUUUUUUUUUUUUUGCAUGUCUGAACUCUCUAUCUUGGUUGUAGCCUCAUUGUGGACAAGGAGUACAAUAACAUACUCAAUUUUGCAUCCUUUGCUGUUAAUUAAAAAAAAAUCCUCAUUCGAUAAUGAGAAGAAAAAUUAUCAGCAAUUAUCUUAACAAGCAGCUCCCCGGCUCUGGCAUGAGCACAAGGUCAUCUAAUUGGUGCCCAUUGGAGACGCUCCGUCAGACUCCCCGUUGACAUACUGCCAUCUGGUGGAGCUGGGCGGGCGGAUCAGCUUUCACAGUCUGAUGUUGCCUGUGUCUCGACAUAUGUUUGUUCCCGGUUCCUGCUGAUUUUCCUGACAGCUGUCCAAAUCCAGGGGCGAGCACCAUGCAGGCCCAGGCCUUGGCAGAAUACUGAAG
RNAcentral lists this long non-coding RNA (1077 nucleotides) under Homo sapiens (human). RNAcentral's name for it is "HSALNT0183317". The record is from RNAcentral. Lineage: Eukaryota; Metazoa; Chordata; Mammalia; Primates; Hominidae.